GGUACUGUAGGGUAGAGGGUGACACAGGAAUCAAUUGUCGCUCCCAUCCCAUCUCGAGCCCACAAAAAUACUCCCGUCAUAUCCCGAUCACGUGACUGAAAACUCUUGAGAUAA
Long non-coding RNA from Sander lucioperca (pikeperch), 114 nucleotides. RefSeq lists it as uncharacterized. The record is from RefSeq and is a predicted model, not a curated record. The transcript is spliced from 3 exons. Lineage: Eukaryota; Metazoa; Chordata; Actinopteri; Perciformes; Percidae.